RNAcentral lists this long non-coding RNA (684 nucleotides) under Homo sapiens (human). Its description in RNAcentral is "HSALNT0082892". The record is from RNAcentral. Lineage: Eukaryota; Metazoa; Chordata; Mammalia; Primates; Hominidae.
CAGUUAUUGAAAAACAACAGUUAUUGAAAAACAGUUAUUGAAAAACAACAGGCAAUUGCAAAAACAAAUUGACCUUUUUGUGUUCCUUGAGCUCAGUUGCGAAGGGCCCUCAUGACUGGGCCUCAUGACAAACAACUUGUUACAAAAAGAGCUCGGUUUCCAGAUCGCACCGAAGCUUCCUGGGACCUCUCCUCAUCUGUGCACGGACUAGUGGCCAAUUCUGAAUCCCAGGCUGUUGUUUCCCAGUCUGGUGAUGAAUCCUCCACAGUCUGAACACACAUAUGCACCAUGGAAUACUAUGCAGCUACGUGUUCUCACUUGUAAAUGGGAGCUAAAUAAUGAGAACUUAUGAACACAAGGGAACAACAGACAACAGACACUGGGGGUCUACCUGAGCGGGGAAGGUGGGAGAAGGGAGAGGAACAGAAAAGAUAACUGUGGGGUACUGGGCUUAAUACUUGUGUUAUGAAAUAAUCUGUAUAACAAGCCCCUGUGUUAUGAGUUUAUCUAUGUAACAAACCUUCACAUGUACCCCCAAACCUAAAAUAAAACAUUUUUUAAAUCCUUUAUGAAAGCUGUAAGAUCUGCUCCUGUGUGUUUGUAUGUCUAUAUGUGUUACAUGUAUGUAAUAAUAUUUUGUAAAUAAAGCUCAUUCUUAAAUCGUUAAAUAGAAAUGGCUUUACA